Potamilus streckersoni is the source of this 77-nucleotide non-coding RNA. The record is from the annotation of a GenBank genome assembly. NCBI's taxonomy places the organism in Eukaryota, Metazoa, Mollusca, Bivalvia, Unionida, Unionidae.
GUGCUCCUGUGGCCUAUUGGUUAGAGUGUCCGCCUUCGAUGCGGGAGGUCGUGGGUUCGAUCCCCGGUCAAGUCAUA